Molecule: long non-coding RNA, 1302 nt
Filed under: Fukomys damarensis (Damara mole-rat)
Lineage: Eukaryota; Metazoa; Chordata; Mammalia; Rodentia; Bathyergidae
Description: lncRNA (ENSFDAG00000022099.1)
Source: RNAcentral
CGGUCACGAUACAAUAAAUCCUUAAGUAAAUGAAUGAAUGAUGCACAUUACCCAGGGGAAAGACUUUGCUCUUAAAUUACCAUAAUUAAUUUUCAUGGUUGCUUGGUUAAACAAAAGUGCUCAGUGAUCAAACAUAAUUGAUUUUUUUAAUACUGAAUAAGUUUUAUAUUAAAUUGAUCAAAAAGCAUCUUGGUAUGCGCAGCCAACAGCAGAGUCCCUUACUCCCCAUUCCCGAUUGUACGGUUUAGAUAUAAACGCCCCCACCCCCAAGUCUCACGUGCUCAGAGGUAAGGAUUUUGGAAGGUGAUUGGAUUUUGAGGGCUCUAAUUUAGAAUUGAUCCAUUGAUGGAUGAGUCUAUAGCUGGUCCCUGGCUCUUUUCUGUCUGGUUCUUUCCUUUCCCCUCUGCUCUGUGGCUUCCAUGAGGUGAAUGGCUUCCUUCCAUCACAUCCUUCCGCCAUGAUAUUUCUGCCGGAAGUGGCCCCCACCCAGCAUAAACGGAAACCAUGAGCCAAAUGUAACCUCUCCUCCCUUGAGGUGUGUAAAUUGUUGUGCCCUGUCAACAGAAAGGUGAUAAAACGCCAGUUCAGAGGUACAGCGACUGUGCCAGAGGGAGAGCCUAUUGACUUCUCAUUUCCAUAUCCAGCUCCACGCUGCACAGCAUCUACACAGCAGGAGAAGAAGCCCAAAAUUACUACUUUGUUAUUGUAAAAGCAUUCUGUGAAUGGAAGACUUUUAUACCAUUAGAAACUGAUCACCCACCGAUGACACCUCAUGGUGAGGCUGGUGUCACACACAACAGGGUAGAAAAACAUCAUGGUUUAGAUCAAGAAUGUCCCCCUAAAGGAUACUGUGUGCAACAGCAGGGCUUGUGGAAGGUGACUGGAUUAUGGGAAUGCGAGGGGCUUGGCUGGAGGUGGGGCAGGCGGCCAUGAGUUGGAGAAUUGAUCUCUCUCUCUCUCUCCUUCUCUCUCUGCUUCCAGAGAACCAUGAUGAGAGCAUCUUUUCUCCACCAGACCUCCCGCCAUGCCCUUCCUGCCUUGGAGCCAGUUGACUGUAAAGACCAUGAGGCAAAAUAAACCUCUCCUCCUACAAGCUUCAAGGGUCAGAUAUUUUAUCCCAGCAGUGAGAAAGAGACUGAGACAAUAAACUUUUCCUGUAAAUGCAAAAUGGUAAACAUUUUAAGCUUUGCUGGCCACAAAGUCUCCGUCUUGACUAUUCAACCUCGCCAUCGUGGUAGGAAAGCAGCCAUAGACAGUACAGAAACACGAGGGCAGUUGCGUUCCAAUAAAACUUAUUAGUAC